RNAcentral lists this RNase P RNA (316 nucleotides) under archaeon. RNAcentral describes it as "RNase P RNA component". It matches the Rfam family "Archaeal RNase P". From Rfam's summary of the family: Ribonuclease P (RNase P) is a ubiquitous endoribonuclease, found in archaea, bacteria and eukarya as well as chloroplasts and mitochondria. Its best characterised activity is the generation of mature 5'-ends of tRNAs by cleaving the 5'-leader elements of precursor-tRNAs. The record is from RNAcentral.
AGGUGAUGGUAUUUAGUUAGGGUUUUUAUUAACUCAGGAAAGUCCACCCACCAUAAAAAAGCAACUCUUUGUAAGAAGAGAAAGAGAAAUCUUUGGCUCUGGAUCAGAAACGACACGUCCUUAAGAAUGGAAUGAUAAUGGCGAAGUUUGUUGCGAAACAAACGAGUUUAACCCUUUGACGUCUCUUAAGGGACCGAUGAAACGACGAAACCUUGCUGGUGCAAGUUCGUUGAAACGCUUAGUAGAAUACUAAAACGAAGUAUCGGUAUGUUUUUACAUGCUUUGGCUUCGACAGAAGGUGGCUUAUUCCAUUCCU